Molecule: ribosomal RNA, 252 nt
Filed under: uncultured bacterium
Lineage: Bacteria
Description: partial 16S ribosomal RNA
Rfam family: Bacterial small subunit ribosomal RNA
Source: RNAcentral
UACAGAGGUCCCAAGCGUUGUUCGGAUUCACUGGGCGUAAAGGGUGCGUAGGUGGCUUGGUAAGUUCGAUGUGAAAUCUCCGGGCUUAACCCGGAAAUGGCAUUGAAUACUAUUGAGCUGGAGGUUUGGAGGGGGACUGGAAUUCUCGGUGUAGCAGUGAAAUGCGUAGAUAUCAGGAGGAACACCGAUGGCGAAGGCAGGUCUCUGGGCCACUACUGACGCUGAGAAGCGAAAGCAUGGGGAGCGAACAGG